This 507-nucleotide long non-coding RNA is filed under the name Mytilus galloprovincialis (Mediterranean mussel). The record is from RNAcentral. Lineage: Eukaryota; Metazoa; Mollusca; Bivalvia; Mytilida; Mytilidae.
CGGGCAAUCAAUUGUCCUACAGUAUGGAAUAAAUUAUAACUAUGACGGGCAAUCAAAUGUGUCUUAAACAACCAUCUCAGGUUGUCUUUCAACAUCUCUGUUACACCAAAUCUAUUUUACGGAACUAUAUAAUUGGUGACUAUGUUUAUGUUCAAUGUUUGUUUCUUUUUAGUUGCAGUUGGUGGUUUUUUUAGUUCUAUAUUUUCAUUUCUUUAUUUUAAAAAAAAAAAUUUGGAUUAUUUUUAUCUAACUCUUUGGUUAUUUAACCCUUUCUUGACCCAUGGUAUAAACAAAUUACUUGGGCUAUUCAACCCUUUAUUGGCCCAUUUUAUAAUUUUUUUUAAUCAACAUGUUGUUGCCGAUGAACUCACAACAGGAUUGGAUUAGCUUAAAGGUCAGAACCUUUAUCAGCUCGCUGGUUGAAUCGAAGUGUUAAAUAAAUUGAAAACAAAUGCACUCGAAGGGGAUUUGUAUUUAUCAAAAAAGGACAUUUAUAUGAUUAUCAUC